Molecule: ribosomal RNA, 253 nt
Filed under: uncultured bacterium
Lineage: Bacteria
Description: partial 16S ribosomal RNA
Rfam family: Bacterial small subunit ribosomal RNA
Source: RNAcentral
UACGAAGGGUGCAAGCGUUGUUCGGAUUUAUUGGGCGUAAAGCGCGCGCAGGCGGAUUUUUAAGUCAGAUGUGAAAUCUCGGGGCUCAACCCCGAACGUGCGUCUGAAACUGGAGAUCUAGAAUGUUGGAGGGGGCAGAGGAAUUUCACAUGUAGGGGUAAAAUCCGUAGAGAUGUGAAGGAACACCAGAGGCGAAGGCGUCUGCCUGGCCAAAUAUUGACGCUGAGGCGCGAAAGCGUGGGGAGCAAACAGG